This 349-nucleotide ribosomal RNA is filed under the name uncultured Pseudomonas sp. Its description in RNAcentral is "bacterial SSU rRNA". It matches the Rfam family "Bacterial small subunit ribosomal RNA", at positions 1034 to 1382 of the family's 1533-position model. Lineage: Bacteria; Pseudomonadati; Pseudomonadota; Gammaproteobacteria; Pseudomonadales; Pseudomonadaceae. The record is from RNAcentral.
ACAGGUGCUGCAUGGCUGUCGUCAGCUCGUGUCGUGAGAUGUUGGGUUAAGUCCGUAACGAGCGCAACCCUUGUCCUUAGUUACCAGCACGUUAUGGUGGGCACUCUAAGGAGACUGCCGGUGACAAACCGGAGGAAGGUGGGGAGUGACGUCAAGUCAUCAUGGCCCUUACGGCCUGGGCUACACACGUGCUACAAUGGUCGGUACAAAGGGUUGCCAAGCCGCGAGGUGGAGCUAAUCCCAUAAAACCGAUCGUAGUCCGGAUCGCAGUCUGCAACUCGACUGCGUGAAGUCGGAAUCGCUAGUAAUCGUGAAUCAGAAUGUCACGGUGAAUACGUUCCCGGGCCUU